RNAcentral lists this unclassified non-coding RNA (163 nucleotides) under uncultured fungus. RNAcentral describes it as "sequence contains ITS1, 5.8S rRNA gene". Lineage: Eukaryota; Fungi. The record is from RNAcentral.
CAGAGUUGAAAAACUCCCCAACCCUUUGUUUACAUACCUGUCCCGUUGCUUCGGCAGGCGGCCCCAGGGCGGGGCCUCCAGCCUGCGUUAGCAGGUGUCUGCCGCUGGCGAAAAACUCUUUAUGUUAUAUGUACUGCUCUGAGUCACACAAAAAAAUGAAUCA